RNAcentral lists this ribosomal RNA (253 nucleotides) under uncultured bacterium. RNAcentral's name for it is "partial 16S ribosomal RNA". It matches the Rfam family "Bacterial small subunit ribosomal RNA", at positions 524 to 776 of the family's 1533-position model. The record is from RNAcentral.
UACGUAGGUCCCGAGCGUUGUCCGGAUUUAUUGGGCGUAAAGCGAGCGUAGACGGCCAGACAAGUCUGAAGUGAAAAUCCAGCGCUUAACGUUGGAAGUGCUUUGGAAACUGCCGGGCUGGAGUGCAGGAGGGGCAGGCGGAAUUCCUAGUGUAGCGGUGAAAUGCGUAGAUAUUAGGAGGAACACCAGUGGCGAAGGCGGCCUGCUGGACUGCAACUGACGUUGAGGCUCGAAGGCGUGGGGAGCAAACAGG